UACGUAGGUGGCAAGCGUUGUCCGGAAUUAUUGGGCGUAAAGCGCGCACAGGCGGCCUGUUAAGUAGGAUGUGAAAGCCCCCGGCUCGACCUGGGAACGGCAUCCGGAACUGGCAAGCUAGAGUACAGGAGAGGAAGGUAGAAUUCCCGGUGUAGCGGUGAAAUGCGUAGAGAUCGGGAGGAAUACCAGUGGCGAAAGCGGCCUUCUGGACUGAUACUGACACUGAGGUGCGAAAGCGUGGGGAGCGAACAGG
RNAcentral lists this unclassified non-coding RNA (253 nucleotides) under uncultured Halomonadaceae bacterium. RNAcentral's name for it is "contains 16S-23S intergenic spacer region". It matches the Rfam family "Bacterial small subunit ribosomal RNA", at positions 524 to 776 of the family's 1533-position model. Lineage: Bacteria; Pseudomonadati; Pseudomonadota; Gammaproteobacteria; Oceanospirillales; Halomonadaceae. The record is from RNAcentral.